Oncorhynchus kisutch (coho salmon) is the source of this 1053-nucleotide long non-coding RNA. RefSeq lists it as uncharacterized. The transcript has 3 exons. NCBI's taxonomy places the organism in Eukaryota, Metazoa, Chordata, Actinopteri, Salmoniformes, Salmonidae. The record is from RefSeq and is a predicted model, not a curated record.
UUCAGACUUGGAGAGUCAAUAACAAGCUGACAUCAUCAUUGUCCCAUGUAGGUCAGAGGUUCAUUUCCCUGCCAUGGCUCUGGAUUGGGAUUGGAUAAUGAUGACUGCAAGACUGUGUGGUUGGCUGAGGAUAGAUAAUGAGAAUUCAGAGGAAGAGAGUGGUUGGCUCAACAUUCUGCCAGACAACCUCUAGGUCACCAGGUUGCUCUUUAUGGCGCACAUCUGUCAACAUCGUUACGAGCACCUGCGCGUCAUCAGACUCACCUGGACUCCAUCACCUCCCUGAUUACCUUCCCUAUAUAUGUCACUCACUUUCCCUAGGGGCUAUUGUUUCUGUUCCUAGGUCAUAUCUGUGCAUUGUUUGUGUCACAUUUUGGUUUCAUUUAUUUAUUAAAACACUCACUCCCUGAACUUGCUUCCCAACUCUCAGCACACAUUGUAACAUAAACAUGCAUUUUGUGGUCUAAGGGCUGGGAUUCCCAUCAAUAACACUGUCUCAGAGCAUAAGGGAUAGCUGAAAACAAUUCCAGAAGAUAAACAUGCAUACAGGCUGAGGAAGAACUGUAGCUCUAAACCACUUGGAACAUUUCAGAGAGCAACACUUCAUAAACAUCUUCAAGGAAGGCAACAUCCGACUCUUAAAUUCUUUAUUUACUGAUGUCAUUUCAUUAGUCAGCAUUACUGUAUGUUUAAACAAAGAAGCAUGGACUUUCUGCUUUAUAACAGGCAGAGAUAGAACUGGCAGGAUGGUCUGUGUUGAGGCAGACACCAUAAUUUGGGCUGUGGCAUUUACAUGUCUCUUCCACUGCACGUGUCCCACUGUGACACAUCACCCACUGCAAUGAUCACCAUUGUCAUGACGUGGCCCUUUCUGGGUAUAGAUCGUGGCAUCCCUCUCACUCUCUCUCCAACACCCAAGUUCUGUUAUCUCAGGUUGUAAAUUCCUGGAGGAGACUCUCUCCUGGAAGCCCGACCACAGCUACGACCCAGACCGUUUUGUUUCAUGUUUGUGACCUCAUGAAAGACAAUACAGCCACAUUACCAUAACUAUGU